AAAUCAGUUACAUAAUUGCAGUCAUCAAAACUUUCAACAAUCAAUCCACCUCUAUAUACAACAUACAAAUCCUUUAACUCAACAAUUGCAUUGUCAUAUUAACACACAAAAAAGGAUGAGACAAGUUGAAAUGUAUACUUUACCCAUAAUUGCAGGCUGCGACUUGAAGACACUAAAUUAACUCAGCUAUUUUUGUUUUUUUGUUUGGUUUUUUCGUUUUGUUAUUUAUGUUUAGUGAUUUUCGUCAUAGUAGUCAUAGCGUAGUAAGGAUUCACUAUGGAGGUCCCUUACAAGUUAGAAGUGAUUGCUUUGACUACAAUCAUCAUUAAACUGGGUGUCUCAGUUUUCCCAUAUUCUGGCAAAAAUCAACCUCCAAAAUUUGGAGAUUAUGAAGCUCAAAGACAUUGGAUGGAAAUUACGGUUAACUUACCCAUACAGGAUUGGUAUAGAAAUACAACAGACAAUGAUUUAUUGUACUGGGGACUGGAUUACCCUCCUCUCACAGCAUAUCAAAGCUACCUAACUGGAUCGGUGGCUAAGAAAAUCAACCAAGACUAUGUAAAACUCCAUGUGUCUCAGGGAUUUGAAAACUUUGACCACCAAUAUUUCAUGAGGAUGUCCGUCCUUGUGUCUGAUUGUAUUUUCUUUGUCAGUGCACUUUAUUUUUACAUUAGAAGCUUGAAGAUGAGUAAUAAGUACAAAUGGGUUUUCUUUGCUUUGUCCUCACACUCUGGACUCACCCUUAUAGAUUAUGGUCAUUUUCAGUACAAUUGUGUUUCGUUGGGGUUGACCUUGUGGGCAAUCAUUUUUGUUUCUCAGGGAAAGAAUGUGUUAGCAGCAAUUGCCUUUUCAGCUGCCUUAAACUUUAAGCAGAUGGAGUUGUAUCAUGCAAUACUUCUAUUUGCUGGCUUCUAUUUGCUGGCUUCCUGUCAACCUAAAGGUUCCUCACUUCCCUCCCAACUAAAGAAUUUGGUCCAGAUUGGCGCUGCCACAGUGGCGACCUUUGCAAUCAUUUGGUAUCCAUUUCUUCAAAUUCAUGAUUGGCUUUUACAGCAAGUCAUCGUCAGACUCUUUAUUCCUUUUCAGCGUGGAAUCUUUGAAGACUAUGUCGCCAAUUUUUGGUGCACGCUAAAUGUUGUGAUCAAAAUCAAACGACUAUUAAACCCAACCUCAAUCGCCUCGGGAACUAUCACCUAGGCCAUGCCCGUGCCUGAAAGAAAAAGUCAGGACGUUGAUUCGAACGGAUUCGAAUGCAACGAGCACUAAGUACGGUCACAUUAUUGGAGGAAUGACCGUGUGCUUGGUUCGUGAUUUGGGGUCACAAGUGAUAGCUGCAAGCUGAUAUCACUCGAACCACUGCACCAACCCGACUAAGCAUGAUCGAAAAAAGCUGCAGCUCAUUAUGGCGUCAGUUUAGCUUUAAUGCUAAAUUUCGCAAACACGGUGAACUAGAUUGACAAUAAUAAAAAAUGAACUUUAUUCGUCA
RNAcentral lists this unclassified non-coding RNA (1486 nucleotides) under Daphnia magna. RNAcentral's name for it is "dolichyl pyrophosphate Man9GlcNAc2 alpha-1,3- glucosyltransferase-like, transcript variant X1". The record is from RNAcentral. Lineage: Eukaryota; Metazoa; Arthropoda; Branchiopoda; Diplostraca; Daphniidae.